GGGCGAUUAGCUCAGGGGGAGAGCGCUGCUCUCACACAGCAGAGGCCGCUGGUUCGAAACCAGCAUCGCCCACCA
RNAcentral lists this transfer RNA (75 nucleotides) under Nitrospirota bacterium. RNAcentral's name for it is "Nitrospirae bacterium (groundwater metagenome) tRNA-Val". It matches the Rfam family "tRNA". From Rfam's summary of the family: Transfer RNA (tRNA) molecules are approximately 80 nucleotides in length. The record is from RNAcentral. Lineage: Bacteria; Pseudomonadati; Nitrospirota.